GACGAACGCUGGCGGCGUGCUUAACACAUGCAAGUCGAACGGAAAGGCCCCUUUGGGGGUACUCGAGUGGCGAACGGGUGAGUAACACGUGAGUAACCUGCCCUUGACUUCGGGAUAACUUCAGGAAACUGGGGCUAAUACCGGAUAGGAAUCCUUGCUGCAUGGGGGGGGGUGGAAAGCUUGGGCGGUUUUGGAGGGACUCGCGGCUUUUCAGCUUGUUGGUGGGGUAGUGGCUUACCCAGGCUUUGACGGGUAGCCGGCCGGAGAGGGCGACCGGCCCCAUUGGGACUGAGAUACGGCCCAGACUCCUACGGGAGGCAGCAGUGGGGAAUAUUGCACCAUGGGCGGAAGCCUGAUGCAGCAACGCCGCGGGCGGGAUGACGGCCUUCGGGUUGUAAACCGCUUUCAGCAGGGGCGAAGCUUGUGGUGACGGUACCUGCAGAAGAAGCACCGGCUAACUACGUG
This 465-nucleotide ribosomal RNA is filed under the name uncultured bacterium. Its description in RNAcentral is "partial 16S ribosomal RNA". It matches the Rfam family "Bacterial small subunit ribosomal RNA", at positions 28 to 507 of the family's 1533-position model. The record is from RNAcentral.